This 274-nucleotide ribosomal RNA is filed under the name uncultured bacterium. RNAcentral's name for it is "partial 16S ribosomal RNA". It matches the Rfam family "Bacterial small subunit ribosomal RNA", at positions 644 to 916 of the family's 1533-position model. The record is from RNAcentral.
GAGAUCGGGAGAGGGAUGCGGAAUUCCAGGUGUAGCGGUGAAAUGCGUAGAUAUCUGGAGGAACACCGGUGGCGAAGGCGGCAUCCUGGACCGACACUGACACUGAGGAGCGAAAGCCAGGGGAGCAAACGGGAUUAGAUACCCCGGUAGUCCUGGCCCUAAACGAUGAAUGCUUGGUGUGGCGGGUAUCGAUCCCUGCCGUGCCGAAGCUAACGCAUUAAGCAUUCCGCCUGGGGAGUACGGUCGCAAGGCUGAAACUCAAAUGAAUUGACGG